Long non-coding RNA from Capsicum annuum, 1164 nucleotides. RefSeq lists it as uncharacterized. The record is from RefSeq and is a predicted model, not a curated record. The transcript is spliced from 2 exons. NCBI's taxonomy places the organism in Eukaryota, Viridiplantae, Streptophyta, Magnoliopsida, Solanales, Solanaceae.
GUUAGUUUCAUUAAUCAAAAAAAGAAAAAUGAAAGAUCUCAUUUUAAUUGAAAAGAUAAAAAUAAAAAGUAGUAAUUAAUUUUUAUUCUUUCUUCCAUUUUUUUUUUAUAAAUAUGUGUUUUUUGUUUUUUAAGACUUAGUCAAAUCAAAUUCUUUGAAUGUGUAUUUGCCUUUUCAAAAUUAUUCCUUUUUUAAAGGAAAAACGUUUGAGGGGUAUUAUUAAUGGGACCCAUUUACUCUUGUUUAAACCAAUUGUAAGUUGUGCUUUUUUUAAGAAAAAACUUUGACUAUUCUUGGUACAAAAAUGGGCCCAAGUUUUAAAGCAAUUGAACAUAUACUUCAUUUUUUAUAUAAUAAAAAAUGAUGUAUAGUGGAUCCCCCAAAAUUGGGGCCUCAUGCAGUGGCUUGAGUUGCCUGACCAAAAAGUUCUCUGGAAAUCAUUUUAAGAGUAUUAGAGAGCGGUUGCUGAGAACAAGUUGUAUGAGUACUUUUCUCGAAAAAAAGGGUGGUUACUUCAGGGUUCUCCCCAAAACAAUGAAGAAUGGCCUGGUAUUUGUUUAGGUCACCAGCAGGGGUUGACGCAACAUGAGCAUUUAUAUAGUUGACAUCUUCACUCUUCACCCUAGAUUGAACCAACACCUUCUCCAUGCAAAGAACAACUCCACUUCCUAUUUUGUAAAGUAUAUAGAAGAAAUCAGUAGGAAUGGAUACACGAUAUGAAAUCUGAGCUGCAAUACCAGCAAUACGCAUUAGGUACUUGCUGCAGCUGAUGGGAACCUCAACGGCCAUACACAUAUACAGGGAAUAGAAUAGGGUAGCGAAUGUACUAGCCAAGGAGGGCUCCAGGGUUGAUGCAACUAUCGAGCUGAUAAUGUUCAAAAUGCCCCCAAUAUUUGUGCAGAAGGAUAUGGAAGCGUAUAUUGUGAGGACUUUAUACACUAGAAAGAUAACUACAGCCUCGAAUCAUCUUUUUGAAUCUGAACAUUCCUAUGAUUUUGUUACUAUUAAUGGCGAAUGGCCAAGACCAUUAGAUGUAACCUCUACUAAUAGAGGAGAUACUAUUUGUCCUCUAAGGAUAGCUUUUGAUUAGAAGUAAUGAAUACUUUCUCCGUUAACCAAAAAAAACUAACAUAGUACAUGCAAAUUUAACAUCCAAACCUUUCA